CAGGUGGUCAGGUAGAGAAUACCAAGGCGCUUGAGAGAACUCGGGUGAAGGAACUAGGCAAAAUGGUGCCGUAACUUCGGGAGAAGGCACGCUGAUAUGUAGGUGAAGUGAUUUACUCAUGGAGCUGAAAUCAGUCGAAGAUACCAGCUGGCUGCAACUGUUUAUUAAAAACACAGCACUGUGCAAACACGAAAGUGGACGUAUACGGUGUGACGCCUGCCCGGUGCCGGAAGGUUAAUUGAUGGGGUUAUCCGUAAGGAGAAGCUCUUGAUCGAAGCCCCGGUAAACGGCGGCCGUAACUAUAACGGUCCUAAGGUAGCGAAAUUCCUUGUCGGGUAAGUUCCGACCUGCACGAAUGGCGUAAUGAUGGCCAGGCUGUCUCCACCCGAGACUCAGUGAAAUUGAACUCGCUGUGAAGAUGCAGUGUACCCGCGGCAAGACGGAAAGACCCCGUGAACCUUUACUAUAGCUUGACACUGAACACUGGUCCUUGAUGUGUAGGAUAGGUGGGAGGCUUUGAAGUGUGGACGCCAGUCUGCAUGGAGCCAUCCUUGAAAUACCACCCUUUAAUGGCUGGUGUUCUAACGUGGACCCGUAAUCCGGGUUGCGGACAGUGUCUGGUGGGUAGUUUGACUGGGGCGGUCUCCUCCUAAAGAGUAACGGAGGAGCACGAAGGUUAGCUAAUCCUGGUCGGACAUCAGGAGGUUAGUGCAAAGGCAUAAGCUAGCUUGACUGCGAGAGUGACGGCUCGAGCAGGUGCGAAAGCAGGUCUUAGUGAUCCGGUGGUUCUGAAUGGAAGGGCCAUCGCUCAACGGAUAAAAGGUACUCCGGGGAUAACAGGCUGAUACCGCCCAAGAGUUCAUAUCGACGGCGGUGUUUGGCACCUCGAUGUCGGCUCAUCACAUCCUGGGGCUGAAGUAGGUCCCAAGGGUAUGGCUGUUCGCCAUUUAAAGUGGUACGCGAGCUGGGUUUAGAACGUCGUGAGACAGUUCGGUCCCUAUCUGCCGUGGGCGCUGGAGAAUUGAGGGGGGCUGCUCCUAGUACGAGAGGACCGGAGUGGACGCAUCACUGGUGUUCGGGUUGUCAUGCCAAUGGCAUUGCCCGGUAGCUAAAUGCGGAAGAGAUAAGUGCUGAAAGCAUCUAAGCACGAAACUUGCCCCG
This 1161-nucleotide ribosomal RNA is filed under the name Citrobacter freundii. RNAcentral describes it as "partial 23S ribosomal RNA". It matches the Rfam family "Bacterial large subunit ribosomal RNA", at positions 1660 to 2801 of the family's 2925-position model. Lineage: Bacteria; Pseudomonadati; Pseudomonadota; Gammaproteobacteria; Enterobacterales; Enterobacteriaceae. The record is from RNAcentral.